Long non-coding RNA from Pogoniulus pusillus (Red-fronted tinkerbird), 1144 nucleotides. RefSeq lists it as uncharacterized. The transcript has 5 exons. The record is from RefSeq and is a predicted model, not a curated record. Lineage: Eukaryota; Metazoa; Chordata; Aves; Piciformes; Lybiidae.
CAGCAGCUUGUCCAGGAUCACAAUGUCCAGGUGAGUUUGGAAUUUCUCCAGACUAGGAGACUCCACAACCUCUCUGGGCAGCCUGCUCCAGGGCUCCACUACUCUCACACCAAGGAAUCCUUUUCCUCCUGUCCAUGUGGAACCUCCUGGAUUCCAGUUUUUGCCCAUUACAUUUUGUCCUGUUUCUAGGCACCACUGAGAAGAGCCUAGCCCCAUCCUCUUGCCCCCUGCCCUUUAGCUAUUGAUCAGAAUUGAGAAGAUCCCUUCUGGGGCUGCUCUUUUCCAGGCUCAACAGCCUCAGGGCUCUCAGUCUUUCCUCUUCACAGAGACUCUCCAGCCCUCUCAGCAGCUUUGUAGCCUCCUCUCAGCUCUCCAGUAGCUCCUUGUGUCUCUUGAACUGGGGAGCCCUACACUGUGAAGUAUCUCAUACAUGAGCUGGUAGAAGGAUUUCCAGCAGAGUUUGCAGGUAAGAGCAGAUCUGCCCUAAAUGGAUGCUGGGGCAGGUGGAUAUUGGUUACAUUCUCCUCCAGCAUAUCUGCACUGGUGCAACUGGAACUCCAUCAAGGUACCCUGCAGGAGAGGACUCUGUGACAGAAGGUGUGGCAUGGAGACCUGACCUACCUGAGGCUGAUGGAUCCCUUUCUAAAUGCCCACUCCAGCCAAAGAAGCAAAGAACAGGAUGAGAAAGAAACUUGGCAGUAGGAAGACAAGAGAAGACUGCCAGCCCUGAGAUCCUGACCUGGACCUUGGCCAAGCUGUGCAAGGUUUAUAGAAACCAUUCUCUGUAACCUUAGAGGGCUCAAAUUCCAGUGAGAGAAAGAUGAUGCACACGGGUUGGAUCCUUCCCCUUGCGAGUCAAUCAUCUGUCAUCAUUCUGUCAAUAGUUUGGGGCUUGCUGGGUGUUGCAUCAAACCCCCACCAACAGCUUGACAUCUUGUUCAGAUAAAGAAGAGAGAACACCUGUCCUUGGCGAAGCGCACAUAAUAAAGCAAGGCAUCAUCAAUUCCCAUCAAUUUUACUGCUGCUAAAAGUAAUAAUAAUAAUAAUGGGCUGCUGUAGUUCUUCCAAAGGUCAAUUCCUGCAUGAGGUGCAUCGACUUGGAGGGAUUGUACACUGUAAAUAAACAGCAGCAUAAUUUAUCUUC